This 439-nucleotide long non-coding RNA is filed under the name Helianthus annuus (common sunflower). RNAcentral's name for it is "sRNA HanXRQr2_Chr17g0825531". The record is from RNAcentral. Lineage: Eukaryota; Viridiplantae; Streptophyta; Magnoliopsida; Asterales; Asteraceae.
UGUAUUCAUAUUUUAUUAUCAGGUGAGAGUCCAAAUUAAGAUGCUAAUCCAAGAAGAGGGAUAGCAAUGUGGUUUGGGCAACCAGUGAUGAUGAUACAGAGAUUGAAGUUGUUCGGUGUGAACAAGACAAUGAUCAGAUAGAUGUUAAAAAACAUAAAAGGAUGGUUUCGAACAGAGAUUCUGCUAGGCGGUCAAGAAAAACAAAACAAGCACAUUUAACAUGUCUUGGGCAACAAGUGCCUGCUUAUUAACAAUGUUUAUAUACAUAUAUCCUUAAAUUUAUAGAACUACACCAAAAUAUCUGUUAACCAAACAUGUGUUUCUGGUGGAACUACUGCAAGUAGAGUGUUCAGAUUUGUUCAACAACACACGAGUGCGAGCCUCAACAAACUGUUAGAAUUGGAUACCAAAGAACGUAUUGAAUCAAAACUUGUUUAUU